This 649-nucleotide long non-coding RNA is filed under the name Canis lupus familiaris (dog). Its description in RNAcentral is "lncRNA (ENSCAFG00030018962.1)". The record is from RNAcentral. Lineage: Eukaryota; Metazoa; Chordata; Mammalia; Carnivora; Canidae.
GGGGGAAAAAAGAAGCAAAAAACUCCAAAAAACAAAAAACAUAGAACUAAGUUUUUUUCCUUGAUUGUAGGUGACAAAUGAGCUAGAAUCUUUGUAAGAUAAAAUGGUACUGAGCAGAAAUCACUUACAUUUCUCAGACACUUUACUAGCAAAAUUGUUUUCUGUCUCUGACUUGUAAUAUCCUUCAUUACUUGUAUCUCUCUGUUUUGCUCAGGAGAUUGUCUGGGUUGCCUGGAACUACCUGUUUAAUCAAUCAAGCAAUCAAUUCUGUAACAUCGAUGUCCUGUGAAGAAGAGCUUAUUAGGAGUCCAGAGACCUCAGUAUGAACCCCAGUAACCCUGGAUCUGUUCUUCCAAUUCCUUAUCAUCUAUGAUGAAGAAGAAAACAUCACCAUUUUCCCUCUAGAAAAUAUAUAGUAGAUUUCUGGCUGAAUGAAUAAUACAACCAAAAGAACUAACUGAUUAUAAGAAAAACCUCCAAAUCCAAGAUGCAGCUCGAGCAGUGGAAUGAAGUUUGGCAGAAAUGGAUGCUCAUCUGAAGGAGACAAAGGCUGAUACACACAAGAGAUGGUUGGAAAUAAGAGAUUGGUUUGGUUCCUUGAAUCUUCCUGCUGUCCUCGUUUCAGGUAAGUUGCAAUCAUAUUUUGAAU